This 431-nucleotide ribosomal RNA is filed under the name uncultured bacterium. Its description in RNAcentral is "partial 16S ribosomal RNA". It matches the Rfam family "Bacterial small subunit ribosomal RNA", at positions 29 to 507 of the family's 1533-position model. The record is from RNAcentral.
AACGAACGCUGGCGGCAGGCUUAACACAUGCAAGUCGAGCGCCCCGCAAGGGGAGCGGCCGACGGGUGAGUAACGCGUGGGAACGUACCUUUUGGUUCGGAACAACUCCGGGAAACUGGAGCUAAUACCGGAUAAGCCCUAACGGGGAAAGAUUUAUCGCCGAAAGUUCGGCCCGCGUCUGAUUAGCUAGUUGGUGAGGUAACGGCUCACCAAGGCGACGAUCAGUAGCUGGUCUGAGAGGAUGAUCAGCCACACUGGGACUGAGACACGGCCCAGACUCCUACGGGAGGCAGCAGUGUGGAAUAUUGGACAAUGGGCGCAAGCCUGGUCCAGCCAUGCCGCGUGAGUGAUGAAGGCCUUAGGGUUGUAAAGCUCUUUUGUCCGGGAAGAUAAUGACUGUACCGGAAGAAUAAGCCCCGGCUAACUUCGUG